GAUGAACGUUGGCGGUGUGCCUAAUACAUGCAAGUCGAACGGAGUUAGUAGCAAUACUGGCUCAGUGGCGAACGGGUGAGUAACGCGUUGGUGAUCUGCCUUGAAGUGUGGAAUAACGUUUCGAAAGAGACGCUAAUACCGCAUGUGCUCUCGAUUUUCAGAAAGUUGAGAGUAAAGGAUUUAUUCGCUUCAAGAGGAGCCUGCGUCCCAUCAGCUGGUUGGUAGGGUAACGGCCUACCAAGGCUAUGACGGGUAGGGGACCUGAGAGGGUGGCCCCCCCACAAUGGAACUGAAACACGGUCCAUACACCUACGGGUGGCAGCAGUAGGGAAUAUUAGAAAUGGACGAAAGUCUGAUCUAGCAACACCGCGUGUGCGAAGAAGGCCUUCGGGUCGUAAAGCACUUUUGGAAGGAAUAGGAAGGAAGGUACCUCCAGAAUAAGUCUCGGCUAACUACGUGUCAGCAGCCGCGGUAAUACGUAGCGUG
Molecule: ribosomal RNA, 486 nt
Filed under: uncultured bacterium
Lineage: Bacteria
Description: bacterial SSU rRNA
Rfam family: Bacterial small subunit ribosomal RNA
Source: RNAcentral